This 861-nucleotide long non-coding RNA is filed under the name Portunus trituberculatus (swimming crab). RNAcentral's name for it is "uncharacterized LOC123499545, transcript variant X2". Lineage: Eukaryota; Metazoa; Arthropoda; Malacostraca; Decapoda; Portunidae. The record is from RNAcentral.
UGCACCAUUUCGUGGUCCACCAAUGAAGGGGCGGGGUGGUGGAGCUCUGCCUAGGGGACACGUAUGGCUGGCCGGUCCUCAAGGAAACCCGGGUCAUGACGAGCGGAGCAGCAUCGCGUCGGGUCAGCGGGCAUCAUCUCUCCCCUACGGCGACUCAACGGAAACUCUCAACCCUGUCAUAUGAAGCGCAGCGUUCUCUUCAUCCCUGCUAGAGACUAACUAUUACUACUACUACCUCCACCACCACCACGUCUUACCCUUCCCGGAAACAGGCACGGAAACUGCUCGUCUUCAGAACCGCAAUACAAAUCAAGUCAAAGGAAAGUGAACUCGUACCUUCAUUAGUACAGGUAAACACGUGAGACUUAUUAGACCCUACGUCUUGUAAACAUUCCCGCCGACUAGUCCAACGCAGCAGGUCGUCGCAAAGGGCACUGACGUGUUUUUCCCUGGUGUGUGGACGGACAUUCCUUUUCUUGUAAUGGCGCUUUUAGGCUUAAUAAUUUAGGCUCCUCAUCCAUCUCUUCUCAACUACCAACCAUUUGUUGCCGCUCUCAUGUACCGCUCUCCCCAAGUACCCUGAAUGAACCAUUCCCAAAUGUCUCCACCACUUACUUCCCUCGACUAUUUCUAACAGGCUGGAGUGAAAAUCUGCAAGCUAUUAAUUUCAGGGAUGGUUCCAUGAAUGUCGUGAUGUUCUAGUAAGAUUUUUUUGGAACGCUACCGGAAUGUUUUCAUCUUUCUGAUUCUAUGUUCAUAAGGAUUUUGCCCUAUUAAUGUGAUAAACCUACAACCUGACUGUGGUCUACAGAAAACAAAAUGAAAAAAUGUCUUGCGAAUGCUUAAAACAUUUCGAAAUAC